ACGGGCGUAGCAAUACGUCAGUGGCAGACGGGUGAGUAACACGUCGGGUAACAUACCUCUUGGUUCGGAACAACACAGGGAAACUUGUGCUAAUACCGGAUAAGCCCUUACGGGGAAAGAUUUAUCGCCGAGAGAUUGGCCCGCGUCUGAUUAGCUAGUUGGUAGGGUAACGGCCUACCAAGGCGACGAUCAGUAGCUGGUCUGAGAGGAUGAUCAGCCACAUUGGGACUGAGACACGGCCCAAACUCCUACGGGAGGCAGCAGUGGGGAAUAUUGGACAAUGGGGGCAACCCUGAUCCAGCCAUGCCGCGUGAGUGAUGAAGGCCCUAGGGUUGUAAAGCUCUUUUGUGCGGGAAGAUAAUGACGGUACCGCAAGAAUAAGCCCCGGCUAACUUCGUGCCAGCAGCCGCGGUAAUACGAAAGGGGCUAGCGUUGCUCGGAAUCACUGGGCGUAAAGGGCGCGUAGGCGGGUUUUU
This 476-nucleotide ribosomal RNA is filed under the name uncultured bacterium. Its description in RNAcentral is "bacterial SSU rRNA". It matches the Rfam family "Bacterial small subunit ribosomal RNA", at positions 66 to 584 of the family's 1533-position model. The record is from RNAcentral.